RNAcentral lists this ribosomal RNA (256 nucleotides) under uncultured archaeon. RNAcentral describes it as "partial 16S ribosomal RNA". It matches the Rfam family "Bacterial small subunit ribosomal RNA", at positions 521 to 776 of the family's 1533-position model. The record is from RNAcentral.
UAAUACGUAGGGUGCGAGCGUUAAUCGGAAUUACUGGGCGUAAAGCGUGCGCAGGCGGCUUUGCAAGACAGAGGUGAAAUCCCCGGGCUCAACCUGGGAACUGCCUUUGUGACUGCAAGGCUAGAGUACGGCAGAGGGAGAUGGAAUUCCGCGUGUAGCAGUGAAAUGCGUAGAUAUGCGGAGGAACACCGAUGGCGAAGGCAAUCUCCUGGGCCUGUACUGACGCUCAUGCACGAAAGCGUGGGGAGCAAACAGG